Mycena latifolia is the source of this 93-nucleotide non-coding RNA. NCBI's taxonomy places the organism in Eukaryota, Fungi, Basidiomycota, Agaricomycetes, Agaricales, Mycenaceae. The record is from the annotation of a GenBank genome assembly.
GCGGGUGUGGUGUACGGUGCACAGCCGCUCCCGCUUUUAGAAAAACCGAGGAUGCUUCAGUGGCAGACCCGGGUUCGACUCCCGGCGCCCGCG